Molecule: long non-coding RNA, 493 nt
Filed under: Gopherus agassizii (Agassiz's desert tortoise)
Lineage: Eukaryota; Metazoa; Chordata; Testudines; Testudinidae
Description: lncRNA (ENSGAGG00000007170.1)
Source: RNAcentral
CGGGGGUGAUCGACGAGGCGGGCGAGCGGGUGGUCUCGGCGCUGGGCGGGGCGCUGGCCCGGUCGGUCUUCGACUGCACCCACCUGGUGACGGACCGGGUGCGCCGCACGGUGAAGUUCCUGUGCGCCCUGGCCCGCGGGGUGCCCAUCGUCACGCUGGACUGGCUGGACAAGAGCGGGCGCAGCGCCUGCUUCCUGUCACCCAGCAGCUUCCUGGUGCGGGACGCGGAGCAGGAGCGAAACUUUCACUUCAGCCUGGCCCAGUCGCUGCAGCGAGCACGCAGGGGACCCCUGCUGCAGGGCUACGAGAUCCACGUCACCCCCAACGUCAAGCCGGAGCCCGAGCACAUGAAGGACAUUAUCCAGUGCAGCGGGGGGGUCUUCCUGCCCCACAUGCCUCGGACGUACAAGGUAUGGGGGGAGUGAGGGGCGCCGGCAGAGCUGGGAGCGGGGCUGCAGGGUGGGAGUGAGGGAUCUCUGGGGCAGGAGUGAUG